UUUCAUUUGCCUAUUAUUCUUUGAUAUAUAUAUAAAAGCAAAGACAAUUAUUGACCAUGGACAUAAACUAUGAAAACCAACAUGUCAAUUUCUCUAUCUACGUAGGUGCUUACAGCAAAUUGACGGGACAAAACUAAAAUCGUGCAGGUUGCAAAAUAUCAGUAUAAAAUGCACAUGAUUUAUAAUUUUCUCAUUUUCUAGCUUGAUUAUGUUAGUUGUUAGCACAUACGAAAAUGAUUAUUUUACUGAUAUUUAUUAAUACAUAAAUUAUAAAUUUAAAACAUCACAAUAUGUUAUUUUAUGGCCUUAAUCAUUUUUUCUUUUUCUUUUUUUUUCGUCUCAUUUUUUGAGAAAACAUGAGAAGAAUUUAUAAUACUAUGAAGAUAUAACUACAUAUUAAACAUUCAACGUAAUGAAGUAAGGCACGCAGGUCAAUCACCAUCUUUUUUUUUUUUUGGAAAUUUCAUGUUUACCACAUUGUUUGUACCAUUAUACAUGUUAAUUUUUACUAAAAAAACAUUUUCAAAAAAAAAAAUAGACAUUUUCAAAAACAUCUUCUUCAUGAAGAGGCAAAAAAUUCUUACACCUUUGUUCUCUAUAUAUAAUAAAUAAUUAUUUAAAUAAAUAAUUUCUUUUUGUAUUUUUUAUUUAUACUUUUUCAAAUUUGAUUUUUUUUAUAAAUAUUUUCUUUUUGAUUUUUGUUUCGAAUUUUCUUGUUAAAAUUCAAUUUUUUUAAACUAUUUAUUUAUAUAUUUAUUUGAAUCAUAAACUUUACAUUCCAAAAACCAUAUUCCACCCUCUCCCCAACUCUCAACAAUAAGUCUA
Molecule: long non-coding RNA, 825 nt
Filed under: Brassica rapa (field mustard)
Lineage: Eukaryota; Viridiplantae; Streptophyta; Magnoliopsida; Brassicales; Brassicaceae
Description: long non-coding RNA (BRAP_LNC007083)
Source: RNAcentral